CCCUGCCCUGCAAUGAGCCCCCACGUGCCCUUUUUCGUCUCUUCUCUCCAGGAAAUCUCCCCUAACUCCCCAAGCUGAGGGCCCACUUAUUCGCAGCUUGUAAAGAAAAGUGACUGAAGUCAGGUGUAGGCUUUAAGAUUGUUUUUAUGUUUGGGGGUGGAGGUGGCGUUUCUUCAUCUAUGUAAUGUGAGCUUUACUUCCCUUUUUGGGGUACAAGGUGUCAGGGAUUAGAGUGGGAAACGUGUGCUUCCUCACUCGCUGGGCCCCACUUUCCCUUAACCAGCUGCCUUCCAGUGCAAGACGACUCUCUCCUAGGUCCUGAGCCCACCAUCCACAGAGAGAUUCUGAGGGCAUCAGCUAUUUUAUUGAGGUGUGGAUGGCAAGCAUGGCUGAGGAAGGGAUCCCUAAGACACAGAUUUAGGGCUGGCUCUGACAUGAGUUUGGGUAAACUCCAGGAGUUGGUGAUGGACAGGGAGGCCUGUUGUGCUGCAGUCCUUGGGGUUGCAAAGAGUCAGACUGACUGAACUGAACUGACAUUUUUUAGACUCUCUGAGUCUCAGUUUACUCAUCUGUUAAAGAAGAAUAAAACUAACACAGCCUACCUGGAAAUUUUACCAGGGUUGAAAUCUAAGAUGAUGUCACAUCUUGUGUCCCAAUUCUUUUUAAACUUUUAUAUUGUGGGACAGCCGAUAAACAAUGUUAUGAUAGUUUCAGGUGAACAUCGAAGGGACUCAGUCAUACAUAUAUUUGUAUCUUGUCUCCUCCUUCUGCCUAACAGUCUUUAAUAGGUUGAAUGUGCACUAUUCUAGGAGUUUGCUGGAGGAUUAAGCCACACAUCCGAUUUUAACUACGGGUCUAGCCAUACCACCAGAUCUGACACCCAGGCUGUAUGAAGUUGGUUCCUCAUGGAAUUGCUUUCAGUGAACUUCCAUUUGUAGUUGGCCAGAAGAUACCUGGGUAUACAGGUAUGUUACUGAAACUGUAGAUCACUUGAUUGAACACUGCUAUAAUUAUGAGGUUCAUGCAGAAGUUCUGUUAAACCUCAGCACUUGGUAAAGAUGUUUCUCCUGAUGAGUGGUUUGCUUUUUUUAUCUUUGAAGCACCAAGGAUCUCAUAAUUGAUCAUAUUUUUCUCUUUGCCCUGGUUUCUAGGGAGCCAAAUUUACUUAGCAUCUUUUGUGUAAAACCUGGAUCCUGAACUAUUACCCCUAGUUUCAGCUUAUUUUCCUUUCUUUCUUUUUGUAAAUUAUGGAAACACAGGGAGCUGUUGUAGUGUGUUAGGUCUGCUGUGUGAUCUUGAGUGAACUAUUUAAUGUCCCUGAACCAAUUUCCUCAUCGAGAAUGGGGAUGAUGGUAUCAGGACCUAUCUCAUAAGAUUAUUGAGAAGAUAUCAUGAAAUCCUGCACACAAAAUGUUUACCACAGUAACUGUCAUAUACUAAGUGCUCAAAGGUUAGUAUUUGUUUUUAUUUUUUUAGUAUUUGUUUUUAAAAAGUAGUUUGCAAUACAGAAAUUUAUAAAAUAGAGAGUUAAAAUCUGUUCUAAUAUUUUGUGUGGGCAUGCUAAGUCCCUUCAGUUGUGUCCAACUGUGUGCGACCCUAUGCACUGUAGCCCCCCAGGCUCCUCUGUCCAUGAGAUUCUCCAGGCAAGGCUACUGGAAUGGGUUUCCAUAUCCUCCUGCAGGGGAUCUUCCUGACCCAGAGACUGAACCUGUGUCUCUUAUGUCUCCUGCAUUGGCAGGAGGGUUCUUUACCACUAGAGACACCCGGGAAGCCCAUCACCCACAAAUGAUCACUGAGGUCCAAUCUAGUGUUUUUUUACUAUUUUUUUCUGUGCACCUAAUAUUAACUACAUAAAAGGAAUCGCAGUUUUGCUUGUUGCCUUUUACAUUAAGUAUAUCUUGGACAUCGUUUUAUGCCAAUGAACAUGGUGUUACCUCAUUCUUCAACAGUCUGUAGCAUUUGGAUUCUUUCCAGUUUUUAGCUAUUAAAAAUCCAUCCAACAAAUUUCUUGAAUGCCUUUUAUUUGCCAGGAACUAUUGCAGGCCUUGAGGAUAUAGUCGUGAAUGAGAUAGCCAUGGUAGUUUCUGUCCUUAUGGAAAACAUUUAAGCUGAGACCUAAAGAAAUGAAAAAGCUAGCUGUGCAAAGAGAAGGGUGAGGGGAAGCCAGGCAGAAAGUAUGGUGAAUGCAAAAGUCCCAAGGAAUGAAAGUCAUCUUCACUGACUUGACAGGCAUUUGAAAGCCCACAUAUGCUGGGCAGUAUUCUAGGCACUGGGGCUCUAGGAGAAAAACAACUCUCUGCCCUCGAUAGAGCUUACUCUAGAGAUGUAAUGUAGGGAAAUGAAGACUGACAAUAAGCAAAGGGGAAUAUACAAUGCAGUGUCAUACAGCAAUAAGUGAUGGGGUGCUGUUUUCAUCAGGAUACUUACGGAAGGCUUCUCAGAAGAGGUGACUCUUCAGUGGAGACCUAAUAAAGACCUUUACAAGCCAUUUGAAUAGCUGGGGGAGAAAAGCAAGUACAAACACCCUUGGCUGGGGUGUCCUUGUCCGGUGAGUUAGUGAAAAUGUAACAGUUAAUGGAUGGCGUCACCAACUCAGUGGACAUGGGUUUGGGUGGACUCCGGGAGUUGGUGAUGGACCAGGAGGCCUGGCAUGCUGUGGUUCCUGGGGUCACAAAGAGUCAGACACGACUGAGUGACUGAACUGAACUGAAUAGUUAAUGAAGUUAUAGAUGAAGCUGGAUCCUGUGGCAUCUUGAAGCCAUGUAGAAAAUUUUGGAUUUUUUUCCUUAGAGGAACAUUAUGAGCACAGGGAAAUGUGAUGAGAUUUUUUAAAAAUUAUUCUGGAUGAUGUGUGGAAAAGAGACUAUAGAGGGGCCACUGUAGAAAUAGGGAGAACAGUUAGGAGGCAUUUGAGAAAUAAGCUGAGAGAGUGAUGAGAAAAUAAAUGUCCUUGAAUAUGCAUCUUUGUUCACAGAUACAAGUGUUAAAUUGUGGAAUCUGAAACGUUAGAAUUAGAGAUUGAAUCAUUGAACAAUGACACCCUAGUAGCAACAAGCACAGCCAGUGCCCAGAUCUUUGAUUCUAAAUUCCAUCCUCCAAAAAAGGAACCACUGCCCUUGGGAAAAUGGCUGAUUUCAAGGCUGUGGCAGGAAAGGUACAAGAUGAGCCUGGAACAACUUGUGCCAGAAAUUAAAGGACUCCUCAAAAAUAUCAAAAGAACAAAGGAGCCAACUUGAAGGGACUUCCACUGACCAAAUCAAGGACACUUUAAGCAUCAAAACAGUCACAGUAACAGAUUAUAACCUACUGAAUAAAAUAAGGAUUCCUAAGUCCAUGCUAAUAUUAACUAAAUAAAUACAUGUGACUGGAAAGCUCUCCUUAUAGAAGAAGGAAAAAUGAAACUAGAAAAUUACCAUUCCCAAUCAUCACAGUAAUGACUGAUUCAAGUGAGAAUCAUUUCUGGAUACUAAAACUAAUGGGUGAAAGUUUGAUGAAAAACCUGAUAUUUAUAUAGUUUCAGAUAUGUUCCAAUAAGAUAUUUAUUAAUUACAAAUUUUAAAGUAGUAACCUGAAGAAAAUAGUAACCUAAUAGUAUAAUAGGGAAAAGUGGUGGGUAAACACGUUAAUAACCCCAUUGCAGUAGUCCCUCUUAAACAAAAUCUUUCUUAUCGUUUUUUUUUUCCUUACCAUCUUUUUUUUCUUACCAUCUUUAAUGAGGGUCUUUAAAUUUUUUCUUUAAUGGAUACAAAUUGACAUCAUGUGCUUUGGAUAUGUUAAACUGAAAAAUACAACAUCAAAAAUUCAGUGGUAAGGCAUAAUCAUGAGGAAACAUAAGCCUAAAUUGAGAGAAAAUUGUUCGAAAAUGUCAGUGUCAUAACAGACAAAGGUUUCAAGUCAAAGGAGAUGAAAGAGACAUGAAAACUAAAUGCAACGCAUGAUCCUCUUUUGGAUACUAGCCUAGAACGAACAUUGUUAUGAAGGACAAUGUUGGGACAAGUAGCAAGAUUUGAAUGAGGACUAUAGAUUAAAGAAAGCAAUAUGGCAAAAAAAAAAAAAAGAAAGAAAGAAAGAAAGACUAAUCAUAGUCUACCAUCAAAUAUUUUAGGAGUAUCUUUAAUGUUUAGAUAGUAUAUUAGCAGCAUGCAAUAAUUACAUCAUAAGUUCUCAAGCAGAGGCAGUCUAUUGCAAGGACCUUCUUUGCUGCCAGUUAUCAUAGGCUGUUUUAAGUUAGAAAACUGAAUAGCAACACUGAAUACUGUAGAAAUGCACUUUGCUCAGUAAUACUUGAGUUGUUGCAAUAUUUGAUUAUCCAUUUGGUUGUUACAGAAAAAUUCUUAACUGUAAUUGAUGGUUGUUGCCGUAAUAGUAUAUUGCCUGUAUUUCUACCUCUAGUAAUGGGCUUUAUGUGCUAGAUUUUAAUAUCCUUGAGCCUGGGCAAGUGCACAAGUCUUUUUAAAAGAAACAUGGUUUACUUGCACAAAACUGAUCAGUUUUGAGAGAUCGUAAAUGCCCUUGAAGUGGUCUUUGUGGGUGUGAAACAAAUGGUGAGAAUUUGAAUUGGUUCCUCUUAUUAUAGUAUUGAAAUUAAGUCUACUUAAUUUAUCAAGUCAUGUUCAUGCCCUGAUUUUAUAUACUUGUAUCUAUCAAUAAACACUGUGAUACUUGAAAAAAAAAAAGAAAGAAAGGUUAACAGUUGGUGAAUCUGGUAUAAGCCUCCUCAAAUCCUUUUUCUUUUCUUUCUUUUGAAACAAAGCAGGUUAAGUAAAUCAUGAAUCUCCCACCAUAUAAAAUGUGUUCUGAAUCCCCUUCCUCUUCUACCCUCUCAAGCCCACUCUUAAAGUCUCUCAACUCUCCUCAUCUCUGAGAAUCCACAUUGCUCACACACAUUCCUUCCCUAAGGCCUCCACUUAUGCCCUGGAAAUGUCCAGAAGCUGCACAUAAUUUACCCCUGUCCCCCAGCCCCAGUGAGGGAGGAGGUCCCCAAUUAUAGACUUUUUGAAGGAAGUGCUGCCACUCAGCUCAGUCCAGCCUGCCACUGCUUCCAAACCCCCAUGCUCCAGCCCUGUGGCUGUAAGGAAGCCCUGCAGGGAGUCCUAGAUGCUUCUUUCUUUGAUCUUUUCUUUGAACUUAACCCUUAGAAGCUUAGAACUCAUAAAACAUCAGAGCUGCCGGAGACUUUACUGUUUAUCUGGCUCAACCUCCUCAAGUUACCUCGUGUUGGGAAACCAAGGCCAGAGAGGGGUGACUCACCCAAGGUCACACAGUAGUACUGUCCCUCAGUGGGGCUUGAGCCACCAAACUCUCAUCCUGAUGGCCUUCUCCUCCUGGCUUCGCCCCAGCCUUACCCAAUCCUGGCAUCUGGUUUAGAGCCCUUUGCCAAUAAACCAUGACUGACCAAUUUUAAACCCUAUCCCACCUCCCAACUGGGUAACUCACAUUCUACUGAAAGGAGGGUAAUAAUCACAACAAUCUUACACACUUAACUGAGCACUUACUGUGUGCAGGCACUGUGCUAAGCCCUGUACAGAAACUAUCAUUUAAUUUUCACAAAACCUUGAUGUGGAUAUAAUUAUUAUCCCUGUUUACAGAUGAGGAAACUGAGGCCUAUAGAAAUUAACAACUUACCCAAGGGUAUACACAGAGUACACCUGGGAAAUCUGACUGUGGCCUUUACAUACAGGCCUCUUCAAACAUGAGACAUGCUUAGCAAAAUACAAGGAACAUUUAUUGAACAGCCACUCUGUGAGGAAUACUAGACUAGUCAUCACGGGGCUCAUGAAUCAAGCCCCACUGGAAGCAGAGUGUGGAGGAUUUGUAGGACAUCGUAUGCAUCAUUGAGGCAUUGAAGAAGCUUCUCGUAAGAGGCAUCUGAGAAAGACUUUGAAGGAUGUGUAGGAAUCUGACAGUGAUGGAAAGGAGGUGUCCCGAGAAGAACUGAGGAGGGGUCAGCAUGAGUAAAAGCAUGGCAGAAGGAGCAGGGAGGAGCAGGGUUUCACUGGAGGAUAGGUUAUAACCAGGAAGCAGUGGAAGAUCAGGCUUCAAAGCUAAGUGGAGGCCAUACUUUGAAAGACUUUAACGGCAAAGUGAGGAGUUUUGGGGAGCCAUUGAAGUCUUUGACAAGAGAGUGGCUUGAAUUGAAGUUAUUAAAAGAUCGAGCCAGUGGCAGCAACUGGCUGAUGCCCCGUGACUUCAGUAUUGAUGGUGUAGCAC
Molecule: long non-coding RNA, 6210 nt
Organism: Bos taurus (domestic cattle)
Lineage: Eukaryota; Metazoa; Chordata; Mammalia; Artiodactyla; Bovidae
Source: Ensembl